AGGACGAACGCUGGCGGCGUGCUUAACACAUGCAAGUCGAGCGGUAAGGCCUUUCGGGGUACACGAGCGGCGAACGGGUGAGUAACACGUGGGUGAUCUGCCCUGCACUUCGGGAUAAGCCUGGGAAACUGGGUCUAAUACCGGAUAUGACCUCAGGUUGCAUGGCUUGGGGUGGAAAGAUUUAUCGGUGCAGGAUGGGCCCGCGGCCUAUCAGCUUGUUGGUGGGGUAAUGGCCUACCAAGGCGACGACGGGUAGCCGACCUGAGAGGGUGACCGGCCACACUGGGACUGAGACACGGCCCAGACUCCUACGGGAGGCAGCAGUGGGGAAUAUUGCACAAUGGGCGAAAGCCUGAUGCAGCGACGCCGCGUGAGGAUGACGGCCUCGGGUUGUAAACCGUCUUUCAGCAGGACGAAGCGCAAGUGACGGUACCUGCAGAAGAAGACACCGGCUAACUACGUAGCCAGCAGCCGC
Molecule: ribosomal RNA, 475 nt
Filed under: uncultured soil bacterium
Lineage: Bacteria
Description: bacterial SSU rRNA
Rfam family: Bacterial small subunit ribosomal RNA
Source: RNAcentral